This 290-nucleotide small RNA is filed under the name Aquibium oceanicum. Its description in RNAcentral is "Mesorhizobium sp. B7 5' ureB small RNA". It matches the Rfam family "5' ureB small RNA". Lineage: Bacteria; Pseudomonadati; Pseudomonadota; Alphaproteobacteria; Hyphomicrobiales; Phyllobacteriaceae. The record is from Rfam by way of RNAcentral.
CCUCGUCGAUCUGUUGCGGGCAGAUGAAGUGGAUGUGCGCGUCGAACCCGCCGGCCGUCAGGAUCCUGCCCUCGCCCGCGAUCGCUUCGGUGCCGGGCCCGACGAUGAUGGUCACGCCGGGCUGCGUGUCGGGGUUGCCGGCCUUGCCUAUGGCCGCGAUGCGCCCGUCCUUCAGGCCGAUGUCAGCCUUGUAGAUGCCGGUGUGGUCCACCACCAGCGCGUUGGUGAUCACGGUGUCGACCGCGCCCUGCGCCCGGGUGUGCUGCGACUGGCCCAUGCCGUCGCGGAUG